CAUUAAAAUACCCAAACUGAAGUUCCCUGCUGCAACAGUACAGAACUAUCUUAAAAAUGAAAACAAACUAGCAACAAAACCUCUGAAACCACCCCAAGGAGUACAAGAUGGCAGGAAGCCCUGGUUCCGUGCUCAGAAAUUCAGCACAGCCACAUACAGAAGUAGUUCUCCAUGUAUUCAUCAGGAACACAGGAACCCGUGAAAUUUACCCUAAGUUACUGCCAGGGAAUAAACAUUUCUCCAUGUUAUCUGGUGACCAGAAAAGUGGGGUUUUUACCCCAAAAGUGCAGUGAUGUGCCUGAUAACAGAUAAUUUGGCAACCCACACUAGUGGUCUCUAUGCAUGUCUCAUACAUGUAAAUUGAAAUGUAAGUUUUCUCUGCAGCCAGCCUGAUCCAAGGCAUGGGAACAGCAAGUGGCACCUUUCACUCCUGGAGCUGUUCUGCACUGCUGAACCACCUCCUCCCUGCAGGCUGCACAGGCAAAGGCAGGAUUUGCUGCUCACAGAGUGCCCACCAGCCCUGUCAGGGCUGGUUUUACGAGCAGCUGUGCCUAUGGUGGAGUUAUGAGCAGCACCAACGGAGCCUUUCACAAGAACAGGAGCCACGACCCAACAGCACCACCCACUUCAGGCAAGGACCUGCCUCCUGGUAAGAAGAAGGUUUGCAUGGCAUUCUCAGCAUCCCUAGUCCCUUUCAAACCCUCUGGUCUGGGAAAAGCAUUGCUCUCCCAUCCCUAUCCUGCCCCAACAAUCAGAAUUUGUUUUUCCCAGUUGAAGAAGGGAGCAUCCCACCGCAUGAGCCCAAAGAAACAAUUUUUAUAUAUCUGUUUUCCACUGAAACAGCAUCAUCUUCCUGAUGGCGUGGGGUCAGUUAAAGUUCUCAAGCUGUGCUGUGGAGGCUUUCUCCACAAAAGCGGGGGUGUUAACCAUGGUGGCAUGGCACAGCUCCAGCUCCGCUCACACCACUCGGCUCUCCCGCUGCUCCGGCAGCCGGGGCAGCGCACCCCGCACUGUUUAAACAGCUGCCUCGCUUCAUCUGGGAGGUGGCUGCCCUUCAGUCCUGGGAGAAGAGCUCAUCUUCUGGAUAGUUUGCAUAACAAUUAACAUUUGUCAGCUGAGAUCUGCCUGGUGAAAGAUCACUAUUUACAAGUAGGCGGUGAGUCUUUGGAGGCUGCAAUACUUCUUGAACCACAAAAAACUAAGCUGAGAGUGGGGAGCCUGAAGGUGGGCUGAUUUCACACGGCAGGUUUAAGGAAGAGUUCCUUUUGCAUUCAGCUCAGAGGUAGAAAAGCAGAGCUGCCAUGAAAGGGGGGAUUCUUUAGCUCUCACAGAUUUCAUUCAGUUCCAAUGAAAUAAAUACAUCCGCCUUAAACAAUUGAAAGAGGUAUUUACUGCCUGUGGUUUAACAACUGUACUAAGUCAAAGGGACCAGUCAACUAGAGCCUUAUAAUUCUUUUCUAAAGAGAGGAUGAGAGAAAAGAAUGAGACGACAAUGCAGUAUUUAUAAUAAAGAUGAAAUGAGUGGAACUCAAUGGCGCCAGCAACCCUGGAGCUCCUGCUGCUUGGGCUAAUGCAUUUUGCAUUAGCACGUCUGGAUAUCUGGCACUGGAAGGUCCUGCACAUGCUUUUACAAAAUAGCAGCAUUCUUACAGCAGCAGCAUUUCUUCCAAGCACUGCCACUGAUGGGUGCAGCUGGGAUGGACAGCCCCUGCAGCUGGUUGAAUCAGCAGGAAGUUUUCAGGUGACUGAGACUUGUUUGACACUUGCCUUCCUGUGGCCAGGUUGCUUUUUUACCUGCUCACUUCUGCACGUUGCCAAGUGGCUGCACUGUGACUCCCUGAUGGAGCACUCACUUGAGCAGGGGUGGAUGUAAGGGCAGCUGUCCCUGCCUGGGAGCUGGGGGCUCACAAAGGCAGGAUUCCUGACUUCUCAGGUUAUACUGGGGGGCUACUGGGCACAUAGACAUCAUGUUGAACAUACAAAAUUACAUCUGUAAGUAGGUUUACUCUGCAUAGGCUAAAUAAAUAACAUCUGUGUUACAAGAACUCCCAUGUGAUCUCUAUCCCAUACUACUCCAUUACUCCAUCAGCUAAUCUUGCAUUUGCCUUGGAAGCAAUACAAAAUCCUCAAAGGAAUUAAUAGCCAGCAACUGCAGAUCACCCAAGCAAUUUAUUUUUCAUUCUUUCCCCUACCAGACUGGAGAGAUACGUGUCUCUCUUCUUCCUGAAACCUGGAUUUGAAAAGAUCUGUGUUACCUCAUCUUCUCCUAGCCUUGCAGAACAACAGCAUUAGCAGUAAUGAGCAAAGCACAGCAGCACCUUGGGACAAACUCUGGGACAAAUGGAAAGACCACCUGGGUGUAAUGUUGUAAGAAGCAAGAUAGCAAAUGGUACUUUCUUUUCAUAACUAUUACAUUAGAAAUGACAAAUUCAUCACUUCAGGGUUUUCUCUAGGUUUUUGACAUAUACAAAUAAUUUCUUGUUCUAAGUGAUACCAGAAUGUAUUCAAUAAUACUUAAAAUAUG
Taeniopygia guttata (zebra finch) is the source of this 2524-nucleotide non-coding RNA. Lineage: Eukaryota; Metazoa; Chordata; Aves; Passeriformes; Estrildidae. The record is from RefSeq and is a predicted model, not a curated record.